Molecule: long non-coding RNA, 3105 nt
Filed under: Homo sapiens (human)
Lineage: Eukaryota; Metazoa; Chordata; Mammalia; Primates; Hominidae
Description: non-protein coding lnc-KRTAP22-2-1:1
Source: RNAcentral
AUAUGCAAACCAGUGGAGGAAUUUAUCAUGGUGAUUUUUUUCUGGUUUGAGAAUCCAUGCCUUUUCCGAUUGUUAAGGUGGUGGUAUAUAUCCACUAAAGUUUAUGAACUACUGUGUGCAGUUCCGAAAUUCUGACUAAAUGUUCUACUUGCCUCUUAUUGAUAUGAUACUUUGCCAGUCUCACAUUGAUCUACAAAGUAUGAUCCCUAGGUUGAUCAUUGGUAGUUCUGCUACAUUUAAGAGUAGCAAAUGAAUUAAUAUGUACUAUUAUUUGUUUAUAUUUUAUUCUAAUUGCUUUAUCAUAAUAAAUGACUAAUAAUUCAUUAAUAAUAUUUAAUAAGUGGAUGGAAUAAACGUGACAAAUUAUCACAGGGAGCUUCAUAGAAAGUCAGCUCUCAUAAUUAAGGCUAUCACCAGAAUGCAUUUGGGCCAGAAAUGUGGUUUGCUGAUGUUAUUCUAUCCAAGUCACCACUUUAAAAAAUAGUAACAGGAAUUCUGCUAGAAGAUGAAAAGUAUUUUUACAAUACUUUUGGAAAUUUGGAAUUAAUAUAUUUUAAAAUAAGCAAAUUCAUUAAAUAUAAAAAGAAGGUAAAAUAUGUGAAUAUUAUGUGUCAGGAGAGGAAAACAUGAAUUUUGAGAUACGGUGGGUAAUUGUUUCUAAUUGCUUUCUCAGAUGCAAAGAGAACACCACAACUAAUAAUAUAACCAAAGUGAGGAUGAUGGAAGAGAAAAAACUUUACUACUCCAAGAACAUAAGCUACAUAUGAACUUGGAAGAAAAUUUUUAGUCCCAUUGAUUAAGAAAUAAAUUAGUCAAAACAUACAGGCAUAUUUGCAAGUAAAUAAAGACAUUUUCAUCGGCUUCCUCACUGCAUAGCCAACCUUCCCUAACCAUUCCUGGCCACUCUGUGGUUUAAGGACUGCAUUUAUGGAGGUAGAGGAGGAUAUUGAAAAAGAAAAAAGAAAUGUUUCAAGAGGCAGGAAAUAUAAGCUUAAUGUGAUCACAGAGAAGCUAAUCAUCAAGUUUAAAUUGGGAUUUUAAGUAAGCAAAAGCCACAAAAUUAAGAGAAUAUCUCCUUAAGGCUCAUGAUUUUACUUGUUGGCAUCCUGACACAUAGCAAUAUUAAUAUUUUCCUGGACAUAUGGCUAAGAGAUUCUUGAGGGUUUUUUUAAUCUUAAUGCAAAUUAGUUGUGAGAAUGAGUCCAAUGUAGAUUGUGGUUUCCUUCACAUAUAACUCAGGUUGGAUAAAAUAAUUUGUACAAAUCAGGAGAGUCAAAUUUCAGAAACUACUAUCUGCCUCAAUUGAACUCCAUCUUCUGACACCAUGUGCUACUACCACAACUAUUAUGGUAGCCUGGACUAUGGUUGCAGCUAUGGCUCUGAAUAUGGUAACUCUGGAUAUGCCUGCAACUUUCCGUGCUCCUAUGGAAGAUUCCUAUUGGCUCCUAGAAAGAAAUUCUGAUUGCUGAUCACUUUGAGCCAUUUUCUUGUGAUGCACUAAUUGCAUCAACAGGGUUAUUUAUGGAUUCGUUAUUGUCUCUCCAAUUUUAACUAACUCUAAUUAUUGAUUACCACAGGUCAUAUUUGCAUUGGAUUAGUGGAAUUUCCUACCAGUUAGUGGGAAAAUCCUUUGAUAUUUUGUUAGUUUUAUGUGUUUAUGUCUGUUAUAAUAUUAACAAUUUCCAUGCAGGAAAACUUAUAAAUUUGCAUUUUAAUAAAUAUAAUCACUUUCACAAUAUGUAUUGCUUAUCAUAUAUAUUCAUUUCUCUUUAUCAUUUGUGUAUUUGUGUGUGUGUGUGUGUGUGUGUGUGUGUGUGAAAGAGAGAGAGAGAGAGAAAGGGAGAAAUAGAAAGAGAGAGUGAAAUUGCUACCUGUGGCUAUUUUAGUCAGUGAUGUGACAAAACAGGCAACUCAUGACUGAUGUUUUUCCAAAAAUGUUUGUAUAAAAGUAAUUUCAAGUUCAGUUUCAAGAAUACUGUUCUCUAUAUUGAUCUAAUGCAAGUUUCAUUUUAGAAAAAUUCAAUGUUUGACCUAGGUAAUUGGCAAAACCAGUAGCACUAUUACCCACCAAGCUAUUUUCUACUGCAAUUUUCUCUCUCCUAAUAGUCUACAUUUAAACAUGUGCUUCUGUACUGAUACAACUCCAGCCCUGCAUUGAGUACUCUGACCUCUUUUCACUCACUCUUAUAGAUAAGAAUCCUCUAUAUGAAGCUGGUUGGUAUGCCUGAUAAUCCUGUGUUUCCACAGCAAAGAUCACCUCAUUUAGAGAUCUAAGUGACUCUUUUGAGUUUUUCUAACUCUGAUCAUCUUCUAGCAGAAUUCCUGUUACUAUUUUUUAAAGUGGUGACUUGGAUAGAAUAACAUCUUGCAAACCACAUUUCUGGCCCAAAUGCAUUCUGGUGAUAGGUCUUAAUUAUGAGAGCUGACUUUCUAUGAAACUCCCUGUGAUAAUUUAUCAUGUUUAUUCCAUCCACUUAUUAAAUAUUAUUAAUGAUUAGUCAUUAAUUAUGAUAAAGCAAUCAGAAUAAAAUAUAAACAGAUAAUAGUACAUAUUAAUUCAUUUGCUACUCUUAAAUGUAGCAGAACUACCAACGAUCAACGUAGGGAUCACACUUUAUAGAUCAAUAUGAGACUAGUGAAGUAUCUCCCAGCCCCCAAGUGCAGGCUUUCUGAAAGCAAACGGAAGUGAAAAUACUGUAUUGCUGUCUAUUCCUUCCUCCCUGGAGUGAAAAAGUCAAUCCAUUAGCAGUUCCAACCCAACUUGCCCAACCAGUGACUGGGCAGAGAAGUUGGUGAUCAUUCCUCUGGUGAAAAAUGAAAAUAAGAGGGAAGUGAUUCCAUUUUUACUAAGAUAUAGGUUGGGGCUCUGCUCAUUAUUUGCAUAAAUUAUCCCAUUUAAUGGAUUAACAAAUUUAAAGGUUAAACAUUUUAAUUUCUAUUGCAGUCAUGCCAAAUUAAAUCAACUUUUAGAAAGGUAAAGCUGAAAGAUUCUUGGUGAGAUUGUGCAGGAUUGAAAAUUUGUGUUUAGUCCUGUACACAGUUCUGAUUCUCAAUACAAGUUAGUGCUCUAGAAUGACGGAGGUUGCUAUAUUUUGUAUAGUAUUU